AGCAAAGCCCUAGCUGCAUGAUUGAUACAUCCACUGGCCAAUGAGCGCUGAGAUUACGUCUCCCGGGCGGUAGUGCACGUAGAGCUGAUUUGCAACCCGCCGAAGCUCCAGCAGAGAAGGAGGAAAAAUGUCGCUGGAGUCGACGCGGACCGUUCUAGGAUCAGUGAGCUCUUAGGAGAAAACGCACAGCAGUUCGAACAAACCUGUGGCGCUGACAUGGACUGUUUGACACUUUUGUUUGGCCAACACUACACAAGCCUCUGAAGGUUACUUGGUCUAAUAAUCACAGCCUCCUGACCCCCCAGCUACCGUGGUUCAGUUCCAGCCCAAGCAUGGACCAGUCUGCCAGAGUGGUGAGUCUGGAUGCCCAGGGCAACAUGGUUUUCACCGUAGUGAAGCCGGUCAUGGGCAUCUUUCAGGUUUCCUCAGAGCCAGGAAACAGUGUGGCACAAGCCAGCAUGGACCUACAGGGCUUGUCAGAAAGCACGCUGGUCCUCCCGCAAAUGCCAGGACAGGCCCUGCUCGAGCCCAACCAGGUGGAAAUGCACGCCAUGCAGCCUCACGUCCAGCCCCAGGUGCCGGGUUCUGGCCCGGUCCAGUCUGAGGGUGCCUCGCAGAGUCAGGAGCUGGCAGCAAACUCCAGCUCGACCUCCGGGACCCAGAUGCCGUUUGCAGAAGUGUCGUCACUGCUGGAUCCCAACAUGAAAGGCUCCAAAGCUCGCAAGUAUCUCAUCUCGUAUGAAGAAAUCAAACGGCGCCUGCAGGCCCCAGAGAGGAUGUCCCUGCGCUCGCUGGCGGCGUACACCCGCGUCAGCAGAGGCCCGGCCAGCAAGAAAACGCUGCUGGAGUCGCUCAAUGUGCUGGGCCUGACGCCGAGCACGACCACGUCCGUCUCCUCCGCCUUCUCCAAACUCACGGAAGGCGACACCAGAGCUCUGUGCGACGACAUGAAAGACUUCGCCCAAGACUACAUCGACUACGGCAACAUGGCGAAGCAGCUCAUCCCUGAGACCAAUACAGUGCAACACUGGUCCAAAAUCAUUGAAACCAAAAACCACCUUGAAGACAUGAGGAAAUGCUUCAAGGACCCGGUCAACGGCGGCGCCUUCGACAGCGUCACCCACGGCCUCGGUCUGGGAAUGCUGGAUGUGGCGCUGGACGUGGUCGUCAUGGUGAUCGAGCAGCAGAUCCGCAUCCUUUCCGGCGCGGCGGCGUCAGAGCCCGCCGACUCUGGCCCAAUGAUGCGACGCGUCCGCCGGCGCCACCGCAAAGUCCGCUCCCACGACCACGAGGUGGCGGCCGCGGUCAAGGAGGAAGGAAAGGGCCUCAGCCAAGGAAGGGGACGAGGCAAGAUGAGGAAGAGGCCCCGGCGGGAACAGGGAGCGCUUGGCUGUGUGGAAGGCCAAGCGGAGCAGAGCAAGCCGCACGAUGUUCUGACGCUGGUGUCCGUGGGAUACGAGACGGUCUCCAGUGGCCUCAGUGCAGCUGGACCCGUUUGACACCGGCCCGACUGGUCCACAGAACCAGGGAGGGAGGUCAAACCCCUCAUUGCCCAGUCGCCACCAGCCCUCAGGUAGCUGCUAGCAUCCUCACCGGUCCCAGAGGAACCGUUAAUUAGCCCGUAGUGACUGAAGGACUAGAACUAGCAACCUACGAGUCGACGGACGGCAGGUUUAAGACUGUGAUAUCAAACCUGUCACUUAGUUUUUUACACUUUUCUUCAUAAAUGUGAUAUAAUGUGUUUCCUAAUGAGCUUCAUGGCUUCAGGUUGCAGCAUGUUUGCACUGAGCCGGCUCUGGUGAGUCUUCAUUAGCAGGUUUGGUGUCUGGUCACAGGAGCAGCUGAUACUUCACAUACAUGUAUGUAUAUGUGUUACGUAUGUUUAGAUUUGUUGCAUUAGCUCAAUAAAACAAAAUCAUCUUCACA
RNAcentral lists this long non-coding RNA (1926 nucleotides) under Betta splendens (Siamese fighting fish). Its description in RNAcentral is "lncRNA (ENSBSLG00000013744.1)". The record is from RNAcentral. Lineage: Eukaryota; Metazoa; Chordata; Actinopteri; Anabantiformes; Osphronemidae.